RNAcentral lists this ribosomal RNA (262 nucleotides) under uncultured bacterium. Its description in RNAcentral is "partial 16S ribosomal RNA". It matches the Rfam family "Bacterial small subunit ribosomal RNA", at positions 793 to 1055 of the family's 1533-position model. The record is from RNAcentral.
GUCCACGCCGUAAACGUUGGGCGCUAGGUGUGGGGGACUUUCCACGUCCUCUGUGCCGCAGCUAACGCAUUAAGCGCCCCGCCUGGGGAGUACGGCCGCAAGGCUAAAACUCAAAGGAAUUGACGGGGGCCCGCACAAGCGGCGGAGCAUGUGGCUUAAUUCGACGCAACGCGAAGAACCUUACCAAGGCUUGACAUACAGGGAAAUCCGGCAGAGAUGUCGGGUCCGCAAGGGUCCUGUACAGGUGGUGCAUGGUUGUCGU